Molecule: long non-coding RNA, 3400 nt
Filed under: Gallus gallus (chicken)
Lineage: Eukaryota; Metazoa; Chordata; Aves; Galliformes; Phasianidae
Description: lncRNA (ENSGALG00010000696.1)
Source: RNAcentral
AAAUUGGGGACGUUUGGGCUGUUUUGUACAAUUUAUCCCUUCUGAGGUCGUCUGAACGGUGGAAAUGGAGGAUUUGGAGAGUGUAUGAAUGUAGGGAUGUGUGUGCACACGUAUGCACGUAGUAUGGAGCGUUACAUGUGAGAUAUCCAUGAAAAUGCAUGAAAUAGCCCCAAAAAGAGGCGCACAGAAGAGGUGACUGUGAAGGAAGGGCCACAGUGGUGGAUGGUCUGAACUGCUGGGCAGAGAAGCUGAAGGAUUUUCUAUGGCUUCCGGUGCUCAGAGCCUUUGGAAGCACUGAGACGGUUCGGAGGAUGGGAUGGUUUGUUGAGUUUUGGGGGGGCUUCGAGCUUUUAAACCAACGGAGAUCUGCAGCACUGCGUCCAAAUCUGGAGCCCCCAAUAGGAGAAAGACAGCGGAGGGUCCCUUCUAUUCACAGGAGGGCCACAGAGGUGAUCGGAGGGCUGCAGCACCUCCCAUACAGAGACAGGCUGAGGGAGAUGGGGUAUUGAGCCUGGAGAAGGGAACAGAAGGCUGCGGGGUGACCUCAGUGCAGCCUUCCGGGACCUUAAAGGGGAGCCCCCAAACAGGAGGGGAGGCGACUCUUGGAAGGGCAGAUAACAGCAGGAUGAGGGGACGUGGUUUGGAGUUGAAGGAGGGCAGAUGGAGGUUGGAUGUGAGGGGGAACAGCUGCCCGGAGAGGCUGUGGAUGCCCCGUCCGUCCCUGGAGGUGUUGAAGGCCACGUUGGAUGGGGUAUCCAAUGGGAUGGCCUUAAAUGUGGACGUGGUCUUUUGGGGUCCCUUCCAUCCCAACCAUUCUAUGAUCCUGAGAGAUUAAAGCCACAGUGGAUGUCGGUGGCCCUGCCUGUUUUGGGGGGGGUUGGAGCCUUUGGGGUCCCUUCCAACCCAACCAUUUUGUGACCCUGUGAGAUUAAAGCCACAGCGGAGGUGGUGGCCCUGCCUGUUUUGGGGGGGUUGGAUCCUCGUGAUCUUUUGGGGUCCCUUCCAACCCAACCAUUCUGUGACCCUGUGAGAUAAAGCCACAGUGGAUGUGGUGGCCCUGCCUGUGGUGGUGGGGGUUGGUUGAAGCCUUGUGAUGUUUUGGGGUCCCUUCCAACCCAACCAUUCUGUGACCCUGUGAGAUAAAGCCACAGUGGAUGUUGGUGGCCCUGCCUGUUUUGGGGGGGGGGGGGGGUUGGAGCCUUUGGGGUCCCUUCCAACCCAACCAUUCUGUAACCCUGUGAGAUUAAAGCCACAGUGGAUGUUGGUGGCCCUGCCUGUUUUGGGGGGAGUUGGAGCCUCGUGAUCUUUUGGGGUCCCUUCCAACCCAACCAUUCUGUGACCCUAUGAGAUUAAAGCCACAGUGGAUGUUGGUGGCCCUGCCUGUUUUGGGGGGGCUUGGAGCCUUUGGGGUCCCUUCCAACCCAACCAUUUUGUGACCCUGUGAGAUUAAAGCCACAGUGGAUGUUGGUGGCCCUGCCUGUUUUGGGGGGGGGGUUGGAUCCUCGUGAUCUUCUGGGGUCCCUUCCAACCCAACCAUUCUUUGACCCUGUGAGAUAAAGCCACAGUGGAUGUUGGUGGCCCUGCCUGUUUUGGGGGGGGUUGGAGCCUUUGGGGUCCCUUCUAACCCAACCAUUCUGUGACCCUGAGAGGUAAAGCCACAGUGGAUGUUGGUGGCCCUGCCUGUUUUGGGGGGGGUUGGAGCCUUUGGGGUCCCUUCCAACCCAACCAUUCUGUGACCCUGUGAGAUUAAAGCCAGGAAGGGGGCAGGUGAGACUUAAGUUUAAAACGUGAGCCGGAAACUGAAGUUUGCAACAGAGCGGGUUGAAAAAGGAAGCAUUUGUGGAUGGGGCGGGGGGGUGGAAAUGCAUUAAAGGGAACGUCCUGAUGUGUGAUAUGGUUUUUUUCCCCCCCCAGCCAGCAGCUAUGGGCAGGAGCAGGCCCCGCUGAGCAGCUCAGGAGGAUACCAGGAGCAGAGCUAUGGAGGGCAGCAGGAGCGCAGCCGCGGGCGCGGAGGGUACGGCCGGGGCGGCUACGAGCGCGGUGGCCGUGGUAGCCGGGGAGGCCGUGGAGGCAACAUGGGGUAGGUGUGGGCCAGCAAACGGGGCCAAAAAGGGAGAAAAUGGGCAAAAGGAGGAGGGGGGGGGAAGCCCUGUGGGGUGUGGGGGCUUCCGGAGGUGGUGAAAUGGGGGAGAACGCCCCGAAAAUGAGGGAGAGAGACAUCCCCCCCCACCCCCCCCCCGGUUCUCCAAGAGCGGUGGUUGGAGUUGGGGGGAAAUGGUUUAAAAAAGAGAGAGUGGUGGAUGAUGGAAGCGUGGGGAGAAAAGGGGUGGUGGGGGAUGUCAGAGGGUGGGGGCUGAUAGUGCUGUGAGGAGGGGAGAAAUGGGGAAUAAUGCCCUACUGGGGGGAAAGCUCUGGAUAUAGCGGGGCUUUCCUGAGGUGGAAAUGGGGUUAAAUGGGGGAAAAAAAAAAAAGAAUUGUGGUAUGAAGGAAAAUGAUUUGGUGGGGAACCCUCUGGGGAGUGGGGGACUCCAGAGGGGGAAAGUGGGGGGAGAAAUGGGGGAAAAUGCCCCCCCCCCCAAAAAAAAUGAGGGAGAGACACCCCGAUUAGCGGUGCUUUGAAUGGUCCAAAAAUGGGAGAAACGGUGGAAAAAAGAAAUGAUGAUAAUGUUAAAUAUAAGGGAGAGAGGUGGUGAGGAACCCCCUGGGAAUGGGGGCGUAUGGUGGGGGAAAUGCCCCAAAAAUGACGGAGGGAAACCCCUGGGGGUGGGGGCUUCUGUGGCUGAAAAUGGGGGGAAAACGGUCAAAAGAAAAAGAAAAAAGGGGGGGGGAGGGGUACACAAAAAUAACCAAAAGCACAGAGAGGUGGUGGGGAACCCCCCAGGAGUGGGGGCUGUGGUCAAAAAACGGGGGAAAAUGGUAAAAAAUGAAACUGCAGAAUUGAGGGCAGAGGUUGAUGGGAGGGGUCCUCCCGAUAGCAAAUGGGUGAAUUGACCAAAAGGAGCGAAAAUGCACCCAAAAAGGUUCAGUGGGGGCACAUGGAGCUGUGCGAAGUGGUAAGAGCCCCCCAAAAAUGGGGAGAAAAAGGUGUUUUUAGGGACAGACACCAACGUUGGGUGUGAAGGUGAUGCGUGGCACAGCCGCGGUGGUAAAAAACACGAUGGAAAAUAAGGAGGAAUGGAGGAAAAAAGGAGAAGAAUGGGAUAGGAGUUGGGAAGGGGAAGUGGGAGGAAAUGGGAAGGAAGAAAGGAGGUGGGAAAAAAUGAGGAAACGUGAGAAAAAUAUAUUAAAAAAAUGAGGAAAUAGGAGGGAAGAUGAGGUGUGGAAAAGGAGGAGUGGGAAGAUGAGGAAGGGUGAGGGGGAAAAGGAAAAUGGGGGAAGGAAAGGAAACAGGAAAUUGAAU